GGUGUCAAGAGUUUACCAGUACUUCUAACUGAGCAUUGCUAGAAUGAAUCCAUCUAUGCUGUCAAUAUGUGGAACAUGGAGAGGCAGGCUUCUCAGCCUACCUCUUAACUCACUAUCCAGUCCCUGCCUCCCUAUAUCAUUUGCAAGUAAAAGCAUGUGAACCCU
Long non-coding RNA from Bufo bufo (common toad), 165 nucleotides. RefSeq lists it as uncharacterized. Lineage: Eukaryota; Metazoa; Chordata; Amphibia; Anura; Bufonidae. The transcript is spliced from 4 exons. The record is from RefSeq and is a predicted model, not a curated record.